This 490-nucleotide ribosomal RNA is filed under the name uncultured bacterium. RNAcentral describes it as "partial 16S ribosomal RNA". It matches the Rfam family "Bacterial small subunit ribosomal RNA", at positions 30 to 507 of the family's 1533-position model. The record is from RNAcentral.
AUUGAACGCUGGCGGCAGGCCCAACACAUGCAAGUCGAACGGUAACAGGAAGCAGCUUGCUGCUUUGCUGACGAGUGGCGGACGGGUGAGUAAUGUCUGGGAAACUGCCUGAUGGAGGGGGAUAACUACUGGAAACGGUAGCUAAUACCGCAUAAUGUCGCAAGACCAAAGAGGGGGACCUUCGGGCCUCUUGCCAUCGGAUGUGCCCAGAUGGGAUUAGCUAGUAGGUGGGGUAAAGGCUCACCUAGGCGACGAUCCCUAGCUGGUCUGAGAGGAUGACCAGCCACACUGGAACUGAGACACGGUCCAGACUCCUACGGGAGGCAGCAGUGGGGAAUAUUGCACAAUGGGCGCAAGCCUGAUGCAGCCAUGCCGCGUGUAUGAAGAAGGCCUUCGGGUUGUAAAGUACUUUCAGCGGGGAGGAAGGGAGUAAAGUUAAUACCUUUGCUCAUUGACGUUACCCGCAGAAGAAGCACCGGCUAACUCCGUG